This 253-nucleotide ribosomal RNA is filed under the name uncultured bacterium. RNAcentral describes it as "partial 16S ribosomal RNA". It matches the Rfam family "Bacterial small subunit ribosomal RNA", at positions 524 to 776 of the family's 1533-position model. The record is from RNAcentral.
UACAGAGGUCUCAAGCGUUGUUCGGAUUCAUUGGGCGUAAAGGGUGCGUAGGCGGCGCGGUAAGUCGGGUGUGAAAUCUCGGAGCUUAACUCCGAAACUGCAUUCGAUACUGCCGUGCUAGAGGACUGGAGAGGAGACUGGAAUUUACGGUGUAGCGGUGAAAUGCGUAGAUAUCGUAAGGAAGACCAGUGGCGAAGGCGGGUCUCUGGACAGUUACUGACACUGAGGCACGAAGGCCAGGGGAGCAAACGGG